Molecule: ribosomal RNA, 503 nt
Filed under: uncultured bacterium
Lineage: Bacteria
Description: partial 16S ribosomal RNA
Rfam family: Bacterial small subunit ribosomal RNA
Source: RNAcentral
AACGAACGCUGGCGGCGUGCCUAACACAUGCAAGUCGAACGAUAAAGGCGCUUCUUCUCCGAGUACUCUAGCGCACAGCUGAUUAACACCUCGUUAACCUUCCUCUCUGAAUUGGAUAACUCGUCUAAAGAUGUGCUACUACCACCUAAUACCACAGUUCCCUCGAUAACAUUGGUCAAAGCUAUUCUCUUCUUGCAAGCUAUCACUUACUGUUGGGCCUGCGCACCAUUAGCUAAUUGGGAGGGUAACGGCCUACCAAGGCCAGGAUGGGUAGCUGAUCUGAGAGGAUGAUAGGCGACACUGGAGGGGAGACAGGGUCAAUACGCCUGAGGGAGGCAGCAGUGGGGAAUAUUGCGCAAUGGGCGAGAGCUUGACGCAGCAACGCCGCGUGAGAGAUGAAGGCCUUCGGGUGGUGAAGAUCUGUCGGGAGGAAUGAACGCUCCUGAGGUUAAAAGAAUCGGGAGGUGACGGUAGCUUCAAAGGAAGCACCGGCUAACUAUGUG